AUUGAACGCUGGCGGCAGGCCUAACACAUGCAAGUCGAGCGGAUGAAGGGAGCUUGCUCCUGGAUUCAGCGGCGGACGGGUGAGUAAUGCCUAGGAAUCUGCCUGGUAGUGGGGGAUAACGUCCGGAAACGGGCGCUAAUACCGCAUACGUCCUGAGGGAGAAAGUGGGGGAUCUUCGGACCUCACGCUAUCAGAUGAGCCUAGGUCGGAUUAGCUAGUUGGUGGGGUAAAGGCCUACCAAGGCGACGAUCCGUAACUGGUCUGAGAGGAUGAUCAGUCACACUGGAACUGAGACACGGUCCAGACUCCUACGGGGGGCAGCAGUGGGGAAUAUUGGACAAUGGGCGAAAGCCUGAUCCAGCCACGCCGCGUGUGUGAAGAAGGUCUUCGGAUUGUAAAGCACUUUAAGUUGGGAGGAAGGGCAGUAAGUUAAUACCUUGCUGUUUUGACGUUACCAACAGAAUAAGCACCGGCUAACUUCGUG
RNAcentral lists this ribosomal RNA (484 nucleotides) under uncultured bacterium. RNAcentral describes it as "partial 16S ribosomal RNA". It matches the Rfam family "Bacterial small subunit ribosomal RNA", at positions 30 to 507 of the family's 1533-position model. The record is from RNAcentral.